RNAcentral lists this long non-coding RNA (600 nucleotides) under Zostera marina. RNAcentral describes it as "long non-coding RNA (ZMAR_LNC003041)". Lineage: Eukaryota; Viridiplantae; Streptophyta; Magnoliopsida; Alismatales; Zosteraceae. The record is from RNAcentral.
CUUCCUUGGUACUUCCCUAGUAUCUUGGAAAUCAAAAAAACAACAGACCAUAUCAAGAUCAUCGGCUGAAGCCGAGUACAGAGCAUUGGUUUAUACUACAUGUGAAAUAACUUGGUUGACAAUGCUAUUGCAUGAGAUAGAAGUUUACCAGAUACGACGAUCACCGGCUCCACGUAUCUUCACCGAUAGCACAGAAGCAGAGGCGAUCGCUCGAAACCCUAUCUCACACCAACGAACAAAGCAUAUAGAAAUCGAUCUCCACACGGUGAGGGACAAGGUUUUAGCGGGAGAUAUUACACUAAGACACGUCUCCAGUACACAAAAUAUUGGUGAUUUUUUCACUAAACCCUUGGGUGGUCCAGCAUUCAAAAAUUUAAUCCAAAAACUAAGCCUAAUCGAUAUACACACCCAAAAUUCAAACCCAAUUAAUUCACUCAAACACCCUAUUGCACCCACAUAUUCAAAUCAAACCCUGACCGGUUUUGAUUUGAGGGAGGAUAUUAGAGAUACACCCCUACAUUAAAAUAAAUCACACAUAUAACAUUACAACAAAAUUAUAAUUAACACCCUCUUAUUUCAUCACAACUCUUCACAUUCUUU